This 405-nucleotide ribosomal RNA is filed under the name uncultured bacterium. Its description in RNAcentral is "bacterial SSU rRNA". It matches the Rfam family "Bacterial small subunit ribosomal RNA", at positions 355 to 772 of the family's 1533-position model. The record is from RNAcentral.
UGGGGAAUAUUGGACAAUGGGCGGAAGCCUGAUCCAGCAACGCCGCGUGAGGGAUGACGGCCUUCGGGUUGUAAACCUCUUUCGGUGGGGACGAAGCGCAAGUGACGGUACCCACUAAAGAAGCACCGGCCAACUACGUGCCAGCAGCCGCGGUAAUACGUAGGGUGCGAGCGUUGUCCGGAAUUAUUGGGCGUAAAGGGCUCGUAGGCGGUUUGUCGCGUCGGGAGUGAAAACCAGGUGCUUAACACCUGGCUUGCUUUCGAUACGGGCAGACUAGAGGUAUGCAGGGGAGAACGGAAUUCCUGGUGUAGCGGUGAAAUGCGCAGAUAUCAGGAGGAACACCGGUGGCGAAGGCGGCUACCUGGACAUCAACUGACGCUGAGACGCGAAAGCGUGGGGAGCAAA